Brienomyrus brachyistius is the source of this 1018-nucleotide long non-coding RNA. RefSeq lists it as uncharacterized. The transcript is spliced from 2 exons. The record is from RefSeq and is a predicted model, not a curated record. NCBI's taxonomy places the organism in Eukaryota, Metazoa, Chordata, Actinopteri, Osteoglossiformes, Mormyridae.
GGGGACUAGCGGUCUGGUCCGGCGUGCCCACAUGCAGGCAGACCGCUGCCAGCGCAGUGCAGAAGAAGCCAUCGCGUAAACCCGCCUGUUAAAAGAGGCAUGAAUGACCGGAUCGUAUGAGGAAAGAUAAAUCCAUACGUGUAAUAGGUGACAUACCACCAGCAGAAGUUGAAAGCAAACGACAUGUGACAACAUGCAAGGUAACAUCUACUAGUUACAGCCUGUGCGUUUAGUGCAAAGAAAAAGUCAAGACGAAAUCCCACAGAGCAAAAGGCGCAUACAAGGUGCAAAGGCUUUACCUUUAUUACAGACUUCAAGAUCAAGAUGUGCAGACAAAUGAUGGCUACAGAAGCAGCAGAUAUGCGAUAGCUUCCAGGGGAGAGCAACGAAUGCGGAGGUGCGAUAAGGAGGCUUCGGAUCUGCGUCGCCAAAUGCCCUUCCCGAAUUGUGACACCUCCCAGAAACAUCGACACCAUUAACGCUGCACUCUGUCGUAGACAAAGGUCAUUAUAAAGUUGAUGCAAGCAACAGGUUUACGCUGGGGCAACGAUAGACAUUUAUAGUAUAUAUUUUAGUGUACUAAUUUGCUGGCAAAACAAAUAAUCGGCUUGUGCUUAAAACGUCUUAAAAUUACUUCCCCUUGUUCAAAGUUCGUUGCGCGAAUUGACAACCCAGGAAGCCGUUUCCAUCACAACUUUAGUAGGUCAAAAUUACUGCGUAUAUGGCAAACAGAAUGCGAUUUUAGCACAGUGUAUUCACUUAACAUUUGAAAAUGAACAUUUUAAUGUUAGUGUUUGUAUAAUAUCUUUCAUGCAACAUUACGCAAUUGCCGUGACAGCAACUGGACACAAGAUGUCAGUCUCAGCUGCGAUAGCAGUAUGUGUUUGUUUUUGAUACCAGUGGUCGCAUAGAUCGGUGAAACGGCGUGGUGUCUAAUGUAUGUUUUUUAAGUCUCCUUCCCUUCGGUAGCCGUUGCAGUUUCCUGAAUUUGAUACUUAAUUAAAAACAAUGAAAAUUA